Molecule: long non-coding RNA, 623 nt
Organism: Stegodyphus dumicola
Lineage: Eukaryota; Metazoa; Arthropoda; Arachnida; Araneae; Eresidae
Source: RefSeq, a predicted model, not a curated record
UGCCUUUAGGCUAGAUACCCAUGAUGUAUAUAAAAGUUGUCGGGUAACUUUCAUUAGCAGACACCCUUUAAUCUGCAGCGAAAGAUAGUGCUUUUCUUUUUUUUUUUUUCUUUUAAAUUCCUCAGCCUGGUGAAGGAAGAUGAAGGUUUUGGCGGCAAUUCUUUUUCUCAGUCUGCUGUCUUGCUCAAUGGCCAUCAUUUCCAUACACUUGGGACAUUCCCAUCAUUAUGUGCCUUCCUAUGGACACGGACACAGCUAUGGUCAUGGAUACAGUCAUGGUCCUGUCUACUAUUAUCCUUCCUAUCAUCACGCCCUUCAUCAUGGACAUCACGGGAAAGCCCUGACUAUAAGUUUGGGAAAGCGAUGAUCAAGGAACUAAGGAGGACGUUACAGCGAACAAAAGAGAAGCUACUCUCACUAGAUAUAACAGUCAAUAAAAUACAAAGUUAUAGCAUAUUGACAAAUUUCUAACGCACCUUUGUCAGAAACUGAACUGAAACUUUGUCUUCUUAAAAUAUGUAUUUUCACAUAGAAGUUGGGCUAAGUUUUCGCAUUGAUCUGAUGUUUUAUACAUAAUUUUAUUUGUAAAUAAACUGUUAUUAUGUCACUCUGAUUUAAAUGCA